GGGGGCGAAACGGGUUCGACGGGGAUAUAUAAGCUCGGGCUGCAUGUCGGGGAUUCUAUCAACCUUCGUUAAAAAAGAUAGAACUUUAAAUAUAGUCGCAGACGACUAUGCAUAUGCUGUAGCAGCAUAAAUAAGCUACUGUCCUUCCUUGUUACUCCUGCGGACUUGGAAAGGGCAUCGACUAGCGGGAUAGCUUCUAGGGUGCUUCACUGGCCCCUGCGGCGAAACAAAACAGUGAAUAGCGCUGAAAGUCUCUAGUCCUGGUGGGGCCUAAGCGCGAUAAGCCAUAAGCAGGAAUAAACAUGUAGACGCCUGAAGGGGAGUAUUUUCGGACGCGGGUUCAACUCCCGCCGCCUCCACCA
This 362-nucleotide transfer-messenger RNA is filed under the name Desulfovibrionaceae bacterium. It matches the Rfam family "transfer-messenger RNA". From Rfam's summary of the family: Bacterial tmRNA, also known as 10Sa RNA or SsrA, is named for its dual tRNA and mRNA-like properties. Its role is to liberate the mRNA from a stalled ribosome. Lineage: Bacteria; Pseudomonadati; Thermodesulfobacteriota; Desulfovibrionia; Desulfovibrionales; Desulfovibrionaceae. The record is from RNAcentral.